This 76-nucleotide transfer RNA is filed under the name Enterobacter roggenkampii. RNAcentral describes it as "tRNA-Arg". It matches the Rfam family "tRNA". Rfam says of the family: Transfer RNA (tRNA) molecules are approximately 80 nucleotides in length. Their secondary structure includes four short double-helical elements and three loops (D, anti-codon, and T loops). The record is from RNAcentral. Lineage: Bacteria; Pseudomonadati; Pseudomonadota; Gammaproteobacteria; Enterobacterales; Enterobacteriaceae.
UUGCCUGUAGCUCAGAGGAAAGAGCAACCGCCUUCUAAGCGGUUGGUCGCUGGUUCGAAUCCAGCCAGGCGAGACA